This 253-nucleotide ribosomal RNA is filed under the name uncultured bacterium. RNAcentral describes it as "partial 16S ribosomal RNA". It matches the Rfam family "Bacterial small subunit ribosomal RNA", at positions 524 to 776 of the family's 1533-position model. The record is from RNAcentral.
UACAGAGGUCUCAAGCGUUGUUCGGAUUCAUUGGGCGUAAAGGGUGUGUAGGUGGCGCGCUAAGUCGGGUGUGAAAUUUCGGAGCUUAACUCCGAAGCUGCAUUCGAUACUGGCGUGCUUGAGGACUGGAGAGGAGACUGGAAUUCAUGGUGUAGCAGUGAAAUGCGUAGAGAUCAUGAGGAAGACCAGUGGCGAAGGCGGGUCUCUGGACAGUUCCUGACACUGAGACACGAAGGCCAGGGGAGCAAACGGG